AUGCUGAACCCAAAUGAAGCAUCAGGUUUGGGAAAACCUAAGGAGCAGAUAGAGGAUUUGUUGGGUAGGCUGCAGCUCCAUGAGGACGAGGAAGAUAAAUUCGUCUGGGAAGAGGAAUUCAAAGGUGAGAAGAUAGAAGCCAAGUGGCUAGCAAUCGCCAAGGUCCAUACCUUGAAGGGUUUCAGCCCUUCUGCCUUGUAUGCCGAUAUGCGAUCUGCGUGGAAUCCAGCAAGGGAGGUACGUUGGCGCAAGGUGGAAGACAACCUGUUCACGAUUCAGUUUGGAUGUCUCGGUGAUUGGAACACGACGAUGAACAUGGGGCCAUGGCUGUUCAAGAAUCAGGGCUUGCUCAUUGAGGAGUAUGAUGGUUUCACAAAUCCUAUAUCGGUGGUCCUAGACAAAAUAACAGUGUGGGCAAGAGUUCUCUGGCUCCCUGACAAUUUUUUGAUCCCCGUAGCAAUCAAGGGAAUGUGCCGGAAGAUGGGGAAGGUGUUAGAGGUGCAAACUACUCUCCCUGCAGGCUUCGCUGGAGAAUUUGUACGAGUUAGAGUGCAGAUGAAUGUUAACAAGAAGCUUAUCAGAUUUGUCUUGAUGACUAAGAAUGAGGAAACUGAGUAUUAUCAGGUGUAG
Molecule: ribosomal RNA, 630 nt
Filed under: Triticum aestivum (bread wheat)
Lineage: Eukaryota; Viridiplantae; Streptophyta; Magnoliopsida; Poales; Poaceae
Description: partial small subunit ribosomal RNA
Source: RNAcentral